RNAcentral lists this transfer RNA (70 nucleotides) under Monomachus antipodalis. Its description in RNAcentral is "tRNA-Phe". Lineage: Eukaryota; Metazoa; Arthropoda; Insecta; Hymenoptera; Monomachidae. The record is from RNAcentral.
AUUUAAAUAGUUUUAAAAAAAAUUUAAUAUUGAAGAUAUUAAGAUAAUUAAUAAAUAUAAUUUUUAAAUA